GGGAAGGUGGCUCAAUGGUAGAGCACUUGCCUUGCAUGCAUGAGGCCCUGGGUUCGAUUCCUUACCACUACA
Molecule: transfer RNA, 72 nt
Filed under: Dipodomys ordii (Ord's kangaroo rat)
Lineage: Eukaryota; Metazoa; Chordata; Mammalia; Rodentia; Heteromyidae
Rfam family: tRNA
About the family: Transfer RNA (tRNA) molecules are approximately 80 nucleotides in length. Their secondary structure includes four short double-helical elements and three loops (D, anti-codon, and T loops).
Source: Rfam by way of RNAcentral